RNAcentral lists this ribosomal RNA (571 nucleotides) under Stenotrophomonas sp. RNAcentral's name for it is "bacterial SSU rRNA". It matches the Rfam family "Bacterial small subunit ribosomal RNA", at positions 74 to 638 of the family's 1533-position model. Lineage: Bacteria; Pseudomonadati; Pseudomonadota; Gammaproteobacteria; Lysobacterales; Lysobacteraceae. The record is from RNAcentral.
GAGAGCUUGCUCUCUGGGUGGCGAGUGGCGGACGGGUGAGGAAUACAUCGGAAUCUACUCUGUCGUGGGGGAUAACGUAGGGAAACUUACGCUAAUACCGCAUACGACCUACGGGUGAAAGCAGGGGACCUUCGGGCCUUGCGCGAUUGAAUGAGCCGAUGUCGGAUUAGCUAGUUGGCGGGGUAAAGGCCCACCAAGGCGACGAUCCGUAGCUGGUCUGAGAGGAUGAUCAGCCACACUGGAACUGAGACACGGUCCAGACUCCUACGGGAGGCAGCAGUGGGGAAUAUUGGACAAUGGGCGCAAGCCUGAUCCAGCCAUACCGCGUGGGUGAAGAAGGCCUUCGGGUUGUAAAGCCCUUUUGUUGGGAAAGAAAUCCAGCUGGCUAAUACCCGGUUGGGAUGACGGUACCCAAAGAAUAAGCACCGGCUAACUUCGUGCCAGCAGCCGCGGUAAUACGAAGGGUGCAAGCGUUACUCGGAAUUACUGGGCGUAAAGCGUGCGUAGGUGGUCGUUUAAGUCCGUUGUGAAAGCCCUGGGCUCAACCUGGGAACUGCAGUGGAUACUGGGC